UAAUACCGGAUAGUUCCUUGAACCGCAUGGUUCAAGGAUGAAAGACGGUUUCGGCUGUCACUUACAGAUGGACCCGCGGCGCAUUAGCUAGUUGGUGGGGUAAUGGCUCACCAAGGCGACGAUGCGUAGCCGACCUGAGAGGGUGAUCGGCCACACUGGGACUGAGACACGGCCCAGACUCCUACGGGAGGCAGCAGUAGGGAAUCUUCCGCAAUGGACGAAAGUCUGACGGAGCAACGCCGC
RNAcentral lists this ribosomal RNA (243 nucleotides) under Bacillus zhangzhouensis. Its description in RNAcentral is "partial 16S ribosomal RNA". It matches the Rfam family "Bacterial small subunit ribosomal RNA", at positions 164 to 400 of the family's 1533-position model. Lineage: Bacteria; Bacillati; Bacillota; Bacilli; Caryophanales; Bacillaceae. The record is from RNAcentral.